CAGUAGCCACGGUAAUACGUAGGGUGCAAGCGUUAAUCGGAAUUACUGGGCGUAAAGCGUGCGCAGGCGGUUAUAUAAGACAGAUGUGAAAUCCCCGGGCUCAACCUGGGAACUGCAUUUGUGACUGUAUAGCUAGAGUACGGCAGAGGGGGAUGGAAUUCCGCGUGUAGCAGUGAAAUGCGUAGAUAUGCGGAGGAACACCGAUGGAGAAGGCAAUCCCCUGGGCCUGUACUGACGCUCAUGCACGAAAGCGUGGGGAGCAAACAGGAUUAGAUACCCCCGUAGUCCCUGUCUCUUAUAC
This 301-nucleotide ribosomal RNA is filed under the name uncultured bacterium. Its description in RNAcentral is "partial 16S ribosomal RNA". It matches the Rfam family "Bacterial small subunit ribosomal RNA", at positions 509 to 807 of the family's 1533-position model. The record is from RNAcentral.